GAUGAACGCUGGCGGCGUGCUUAACACAUGCAAGUCGAACGAAGCACCUGAAGUUGAUUUCUUCGGAUUGAUUCUUCUGGUGACUGAGUGGCGGACGGGUGAGUAACGCGUGGGUAACCUGCCUCAUACAGGGGGAUAACAGUUAGAAAUGACUGCUAAUACCGCAUAAGCGCACAGUACCGCAUGGUACGGUGUGAAAAACUCCGGUGGUAUGAGAUGGACCCCG
Molecule: ribosomal RNA, 226 nt
Filed under: uncultured bacterium
Lineage: Bacteria
Description: partial 16S ribosomal RNA
Rfam family: Bacterial small subunit ribosomal RNA
Source: RNAcentral